Molecule: ribosomal RNA, 390 nt
Filed under: uncultured bacterium
Lineage: Bacteria
Description: bacterial SSU rRNA
Rfam family: Bacterial small subunit ribosomal RNA
Source: RNAcentral
AUUGAACGCUGGCGGCAUGCCUUACACAUGCAAGUCGAACGGCAGCACGGGAGCAAUCCUGGUGGCGAGUGGCGAACGGGUGAGUAAUGUAUCGGAACGUACUUUUCAGUGGGGGAUAACGUAGCGAAAGUUACGCUAAUACCGCAUAUUCUGUGAGCAGGAAAGCAGGGGAUCGCAAGACCUUGCGCUGAUUGAGCGGCCGAUAUCAGAUUAGCUAGUUGGUGAGGUAAAGGCUCACCAAGGCGACGAUCUGUAGCGGGUCUGAGAGGAUGAUCCGCCACACUGGAACUGAGACACGGUCCAGACUCCUACGGGAGGCAGCAGUGGGGAAUUUUGGACAAUGGGCGCAAGCCUGAUCCAGCCAUGCCGCGUGAGUGAAGAAGGCCUCGG